CUGUAAACCUAUUUCUCUUGCUCGAAAAAUUAGGGCUUCUCUGUGUGAAGAUCUUCUAAGAUCCUGUGAUAUUGGUUGUUAUCGCUUUGUUUAGUGCUAAACAUACUUGAUUUGGUUUAUCAUCUGUGGGAGAAAUUCUAGGUUGUCCAUAUUAUGGAAUCAUAGAGUUUCCUUAUUUUUCUGCAUUAUUCCUUUUUUCUGUGUUUAUUUGUUAUUCAUUUGAUUUUGUGGGUUCCUUGUCCAUGGUCCUGCUUUUUAUAGAAGACCCAAUUGUAAAUUGUGAAUUUUGGAAAAAGCCCUAAAUUUCAUUGGACUGGUGUUUGUUUGUAUAUUGGGUUUCACUUCUGGUCAUUCGUUCUAUAAAAAACUUUUAAACUUCUGCUGCAUUAUAAUGUUCUUGUUUUCUGUAUAUGUUUUCGUUUUGUAAAAAAGACACGGUGUCUGGAUUAAAGGAUUUUGUUUAGUGGUUUUGUAUCAGCCCCUUUCAAUUUAUUUGGUUGAAAAUCUAUGCUUUACGGUGAUUUGAGUUAUUUUUAUGAUUUUUGCUUACCAUUUUGUUUGUUUGUGGAGAUACCCGGGAUUUGGUGUUGGUUUUCUGUGGUGGAAGCUGUAGGUUUCAUUGUUAUUCUGAAUGUAUGAUUCCUAUUAUGUUGCUUAAUUGAUUUCCAAUCUGUUCUUUGUUUUUUGGUAGAAAGUUGUUUUGCUGUAAAUGUUAGGACUACUUCUCUAUAUGGGCAUGUGUUGCUUGCAAAGAAUCCAUGGCAUUCCUCUAUGCAUCAUUAAAAUAUACUCCGUUUUCUAUAUGGAGUUAUUGCAUUUUGGUGUUUCUUAAGGUUUUUUUUUUUUUUUAAUCUUCUGUUUUUUAAUCAUUGUGUAGAGAAAUGAGCUUAAGAUUAGCUGAAUAUUGCAUUACUGAAUCAGUGAUAGUGUUGAUUUAUUUGUCUAGUUUCCUUUUGUGGUAUAUGAUUUGCUUUUAGUGAUGUGGUAUUGCAUUUUGGUGUUUCUUAAUUUUUUAUUUAUUUUUUAUCUUCUGUUUUUUAAUCAUUUGUGUAGUUAUAUGGGCUUUAAAGUUAGCUGAAUAUUGCAUUACUGAAUCAGUGACGGCGUUGAUUUAUUAGGCUAGUUUCCUUUUUGUGGUAUAUGAAUUGCUUUUAGUGAUGUGGUACCUUGAUAUUGCAUUUUGGUGUUUCUUUUUUGGUGAAUACCUUUUCUGUGGUUUAUGUUAAUACUUGGAGGAUGGAACAAUUUGUUUGAGUCCAGCUGGUAUUAAUUUAUGGUAAAAGCGACAUUUUUGGUAUUUGGCAACUCCAAGUGAUGAUCUCUAUAUGAUUUCCAUGCGGUGUUAUUUAUUGAUUAUUUAAGUGUUUUAAUCGACUGGUGAACUUCAUUAAUGUUGCUUAUCACGAUAGAAUUUGUCACUAAAACAAUGUUGGUAGUUUUCUUCAUGAAUAUAUAUUAUAUAAGUUAUACAGGAUGCAUUGGAUGUAGUUUGUCCUUUUCAUUUCGAUCUUCAUCAACAAUUUCUAUUAGAAUUUUUGAAUCUGGUCUGACCUUCAUACUGUUCCAUGCUUUGUUACUCAUUCCAUUCUUGUUUAUUAAUGGAUGUGUUUCUUGGUUUUACCGAUCAAUAGUAUUGAUUCUAUUUCUUGGAUUAACGUUCAAUAUGUUGGUGUGAAGUAUUUCUAUGCUUUACUUGAGUUUAUUGCUUGGAUGGUGGUUGAUAAUGGCAGUCUUAGCCAAAGACUUUUGGGUUGCAAUGACUCUCUUCUGUUUUUAAAAUUUUCCCCAUUCUUUAUGUCUUGAUGGAUAACUGCAUGAAUAUGCGGUUGUUGUAAACUUGAUCCUCAUGUUGUUUAAGUGUGAGAAUUUGUACAAAUUGUUUAUACAGUUUUGUGCUUUUUCUUUCUUUUUGGCAAGACUUUGGAUGGCUAUCCAUUAUUUUUGUUGGUGCUGCUCCUAUUGGCGUGGUGCAUUUCCUUUAGAUUGGUUUUGGCAUGUACUUUGUGCUUGUAUAUAUGAUCUUGUUUAUUUUCAUGUAUGGGAUAAUUAGUACCAUUAUUAUCAGUGAACAAUGGUUGACUGCAUCUGGAAAUAUGAUGCAUGUAUAAUGAAGUGGUGGUUCCAAUGUUGUUCCGAGUUGCAACUAUGGGACCCAUGUGCCCUUCAAGAUGCAAUUGCAUCUGAAAAUGUAGGGUGAACAGAAAGAUGUAUUGUGCGAGCCUAUGGAAUGGCUUUAUUGUCAUGUUCUGAUCACCCAAUUGGUUUUCAGACCCUAGGGAUAGGCAAUAAGUUUGGUAAGUAUUCUUAAAGUUAUCUUUGAUCCAAUUGGAUAGGCGCAUGAAUGCUUGGCCUACUGAUGGGUGCAAGAUUCUUAAUUGGGUCAGCUAUUCAUUGAGGGCUCUUCUGCGAAUAUCACUAGUUGGUUCUUGUAGGAGAUAGUUCUUGCUUUGAACCUAGCAGAUUUUGUGGGUGAAGUUGUUUACCCAUUAUGAUGGGAAGUAUAACCUCUGAUGAAGUUUGGCACAUAAAUUAUUUGACGGUAGAUAUGGAGAAAUCUUGUGAUCUCUAAAUUGUGAUGAGGUGAGUAAUGGCAAUGUUUGCUACUAGAUUGAACAAGUGGAAGCAUGUUUGGGUUUUGGCAGUAAUUAGUACAGAGUACAAGGCAGUUAGAACUUUAACAAAUCUUGGUUCCUAGAUUGAGUCAUUUAGGAUUAUAUGUUGGCCACACAUAUCAUUAACAUGUGGCAUUACUUAAAUUGGGCCACAAAUAUCAUCAAUUAGAUGUAGCAUGCUUUAAAUCUGGCAACCAAAUUUGUAUCCAUCCAACAAUUGUUUUUCUUUUCAAAAGGCAAACUUGUGCCUAAUAGAAUUAAUGAUCAUUGUCAUCUUUUUUGUAUUCUAACAUGAGCGAGUCCCCAUUAGUAUAUUGGGGAUAAUUGUAGUGUAGUGCAUUAGCAAUAAUUGAUAUUUGAAAUGGGUGCUACAGACUUGUGAAAGAAGGAUUGGAUAUAAAUAUGCAGCAUGAUGAGUGAGGAGUAUGGACACGUAUUUCACAAAGAUAAGUUAAAAAACAGGGCUAAUGAAGAUGAAGGGAAGUGGAUCGACGUUGUUCUACCUCCUAUGGAGCUGAUGGAUCGAGUUUUUGGGGAUUGGUAUAACGCCGGCUAUGGAAUAUUUUAUUUUGAUUAAUAUGAUUGUAUUCUUGUAAUAAGAACCCAUGCAUAGUGUCCUUUUCGACUACUUGUAAGGGAUAUUGCAUUCAACUUUUCAUUAUGUUCCUUCGUAAUCUUUUUUUCAAUGUAAUGAGAUGUAGUAUUCCGGAUAUGAUAUAAUUCAGGUUGUGUACA
Molecule: long non-coding RNA, 3347 nt
Organism: Amborella trichopoda
Lineage: Eukaryota; Viridiplantae; Streptophyta; Magnoliopsida; Amborellales; Amborellaceae
Source: RefSeq, a predicted model, not a curated record